This 488-nucleotide ribosomal RNA is filed under the name Tremella flava. RNAcentral describes it as "LSU rRNA". It matches the Rfam family "Eukaryotic large subunit ribosomal RNA", at positions 81 to 574 of the family's 3401-position model. The record is from RNAcentral. Lineage: Eukaryota; Fungi; Basidiomycota; Tremellomycetes; Tremellales; Tremellaceae.
UAGUAACGGCGAGCGAACCGGGAAGAGCUCAAAUUUGUAAUCUGGCGCCCCUCGGGCUCAGAGUUGUAAUCUACAGAGGCGUUUUCCGUGCCGGCCCGUGCCCAACUUUGCUUGGAACAGUGAGAUCAAAGAGGGUGAAAAUCCCGUACUUGACACGACCGCCGGUGCUAUGUGAUACGUCUUCUAAGAGUCGAGUUGUUUGGGAAUGCAGCUCAAAACGGGUGGUAAAUUCCAUCUAAGGCUAAAUAUUGGCGAGAGACCGAUAGCGAACAAGUACCGUGAGGGAAAGAUGAAAAGCACUUUGGAAAGAGAGUUAAACAGCACGUGAAAUUGUUGAAAGGGAAACGAUUGAAGUCAGUCGUGUCCGAGGGGUUCAGCCGGUCCUGCCGGUGCAUUCCUCUCGGACGGGUCAACAUCGGUUUUGUCCGGCGGACAAGGGCAUGGGGAAAGUGGCACCUUUGGGUGUGUUAUAGCCCCGUGUCGCAUAC